ACCUCNGAUCGGNCGAGAUUACCCGCUGAACUUAAGCAUAUUACUAAGCGGAGGAAAAGAAACUAACAAGGAUUUCCCCAGUAACNNCGAGUNAAGCGGNAAAAGCCCAGCACCGAAUCCCCCGGUGUCACGCCGGCGGGAACUGUGGUGUNAGGGACGCCACCAGUCGCGCCGGAGGGUGCCGAAGUCCUCCUGAUCGGGGCUUCACCCGGAGCGGGUGUAAGGCCUUUGCUGGCACCUCUCCGCGCGGCCGCCGCAGCGUCUCNGGAGUCGGGUUGUUUGGGAAUGCNGCCCAAAGCNG
Molecule: ribosomal RNA, 301 nt
Filed under: Aneitea sp.
Lineage: Eukaryota; Metazoa; Mollusca; Gastropoda; Stylommatophora; Athoracophoridae
Description: partial 28S ribosomal RNA
Rfam family: Eukaryotic large subunit ribosomal RNA
Source: RNAcentral